This is a long non-coding RNA of Quercus lobata, 2333 nucleotides long. RefSeq lists it as uncharacterized. The transcript has 7 exons. The record is from RefSeq and is a predicted model, not a curated record. Lineage: Eukaryota; Viridiplantae; Streptophyta; Magnoliopsida; Fagales; Fagaceae.
GAUAAGUAUUAUAUAGACUCGAAAAAACAAAUCUUUAUCAUAUAGAGAAAUAGAUAGAAAUACAGAGUCAUUGAGUCUAACUCUACCUCUAUCACUUCCUAUUUACUACUAUUAUUUAUAUUAACUCUACGCCUGUGUUUUUUUCUAAUUUUUAGAUCUAAGUUUCGCACUCACAUCAAAUUUUGUUUCAUUUUCACAAAACCAAUAACGCAAAUCGUACUCGUCUCUCAGUAUUGCUCUCAUUGACCCACCGUGCCAAAGGUCAUUCAAAAUUCAGCGGCCAAGCUCGGGGGGCGACUUGCCCCAGUUUCGGAGGGUAAAUUCAAACACUCUUACAAUGUUCAUGGAUAACGACGUUGAAGGUGGUAAUCUUGGGCCAUAUGCUGACAGGCCGAGGGUUUUCCCCAGCAUGCGUAGUAAAGUUCACACCCCGUUGGUAAAUACAAUUCAAUACAAAAAAGCCUGUUAUGGGAUUGAACCUGUAUCUUCAUUUGUUCUUAUUUUGUGUGAAUUGGUCUCAUUGUCAGAUUAAUAUAUGAUCACUUGUAGCAAAGCGUAUUUGUUUUUCUUGGGGUGUAAGAUUCAUGUAUGCUUUUUAUUCUUAGUGGACUACGUUUAGGACUUUUCUUCUUUCAUUGUGCUUAUGAUUUGCGAUUGGUAUGAUGGAGCUGUAUUGUGUUAAACAGUAUUGCAUUGCUAACAACCUUUGUCUCUCUCUCUCUCUCUCUCUAUCUCCAUUUUUAAAUUUAUAGCUUUUCACAGACAGAACAACAUGGUGCAACCUUUCAUAGCUUUGAACUAACAGUGCAACUGUGCUUUGUCAGAGUUAGACAAAUAUGUUUUUAUUUAUUUUGUUAAUUAGAUACUCCCUCCAUCCCAUAUUGUUGGUGUUGUUUAGAAAAUCCAACUUUUCAAGGGAACAUCAUGUAAUGCAGUCAUUCAAAUAAAAGGGAUCAAGUUUGAAAAACUUUUUGAAUGAAGUAAAUGAUAAGUUAGGAAUAUCAAUAUUAUAUAUAUUGACUUUUUAAAGAGGACUACAUUUUGAGACAUCCCAAAAUGGAAUGAAGAACUAAUGAUUUGAGGUGGAGGGAGUAGUUAAAACAAUGGGGGAGGGGGGAUUUUAACCCUGGCUCUUCUUGCAAAAGAGAGCAGACAUUGCCACUAAGCUACAUGGCUCUUGGCGUUAGAGUUAGAUAAACUAUUGUAACUAGUUAUAGAAUAACUAUUUUUCCUAAAUGUAAUGACAAUUUUGCAAUCUUUUACGUUGGAGCAAAAACUUCUCCAAUCAUUGUUUUUGUCUUCUCCCUUUGUAUUAUUAGCUUCCUUUUCUCAAUAUAUCUUACUAAGUGGUUGCUUGCAAAGGAUGAGGGGCCUCCUGAGAUGGUUCAGAGUUUAUUCAUUCAGAGUAGCAGGAGCUCAAGAAGAACUUCAGUGGUUUGUAAGGAAAUUUGGAGGACUACCCCCAGAUUUUUUUUGGCUGGACUUCCUAAAAUCAUUGACAAUUGUCACAUUAAUUGGAACUCCGAUCAAAGACAGGUCCUCUGGAUUUUACAAAUAGCAUAAGCCUAGCAGAUUAACACAAAAAACUUGCAAUGGAUGAUGAAGAAAGAUCAAGAUCAAUCUCAAAGAGAAAACCCAUCUAGGUGGUCACAGAUUAACACUACUAGUCAUGGGUUGCUAAAUGGGGAUACAAUUGUGAUCUCGUUUGUGUGUACUGCAAGAGAAAGCUGGCGCCAAUGUUGGGCUGCGUAACAUGGAUCCCAAUUACAUGAUCUGUGUUGUUCUGAGCAAUGCAUUUGAAUAGUGUAUUCAACCUUCCUUGCACACAAGGCUAUUCAUGGUUCAGUGGCAGGGUAUAUGGAUUUGCAGUUGAGCCUAUUAAUGGGAGACAUUCUUAUAUUCCAUUUCAUUUAAGUUUCUUCUUGGUUGGAAAUUUUUAAUCUUCCUUGCUCAUGUCUAGCUGUCUCUGUGAGCUAUAUGUAUGUGUUUGUGGGUUUGCACAUGUAUAUACCCUUUGUGUACCCUUUGUGUGAGAUUAUGCUUCUUGCUACAUUAUACAUGUCCACAAUGGCCAAUUGAACAAAUGUCCAUUCAUUCAACCUUUAAAUAUCUUGCCUGCUUUACACAUAGCUUGUUGCACCUAUUGAUCUGGAAACAUGAUCAAUGAACCUGUAAGCAAGUUUAUAUUCAAAAUUUCAUUAGAUGAUAGAUGAGUUCAUUCAACUGGGGUAGGAGCACAUUGGUUUUAUGAUUGGCAACUAGCCAUUAAUAUAAUAUGGACUUGUUGCUCAUUUUGUGCGUGCAGUGUGCAAUUGAGAAAUAGUGAGAAACAA